GGUUAAGCGACUAAGCGUACACGGUGGAUGCCCUGGCAGUCAGAGGCGAUGAAGGACGUGCUAAUCUGCGAUAAGCGUCGGUGAGGUGAUAUGAACCGUUAUAACCGGCGAUUUCCGAAUGGGGAAACCCAGUGUGUUUCGACACACUAUCAUUAACUGAAUCCAUAGGUUAAUGAGGCGAACCGGGGGAACUGAAACAUCUAAGUACCCCGAGGAAAAGAAAUCAACCGAGAUUCCCCCAGUAGCGGCGAGCGAACGGGGAGCAGCCCAGAGCCUGAAUCAGUGUGUGUGUUAGUGGAAGCGUCUGGAAAGGCGCGCGAUACAGGGUGACAGCCCCGUACACAAAAAUGCACAUACUGUGAGCUCGAUGAGUAGGGCGGGACACGUGGUAUCCUGUCUGAAUAUGGGGGGACCAUCCUCCAAGGCUAAAUACUCCUGACUGACCGAUAGUGAACCAGUACCGUGAGGGAAAGGCGAAAAGAACCCCGGCGAGGGGAGUGAAAAAGAACCUGAAACCGUGUACGUACAAGCAGUGGGAGCCUCUUUUAUGGGGUGACUGCGUACCUUUUGUAUAAUGGGUCAGCGACUUAUAUUCUGUAGCAAGGUUAACCGAAUAGGGGAGCCGAAGGGAAACCGAGUCUUAACUGGGCGUUAAGUUGCAGGGUAUAGACCCGAAACCCGGUGAUCUAGCCAUGGGCAGGUUGAAGGUUGGGUAACACUAACUGGAGGACCGAACCGACUAAUGUUGAAAAAUUAGCGGAUGACUUGUGGCUGGGGGUGAAAGGCCAAUCAAACCGGGAGAUAGCUGGUUCUCCCCGAAAGCUAUUUAGGUAGCGCCUCGUGAAUUCAUCUCCGGGGGUAGAGCACUGUUUCGGCAAGGGGGUCAUCCCGACUUACCAACCCGAUGCAAACUGCGAAUACCGGAGAAUGUUAUCACGGGAGACACACGGCGGGUGCUAACGUCCGUCGUGAAGAGGGAAACAACCCAGACCGCCAGCUAAGGUCCCAAAGUCAUGGUUAAGUGGGAAACGAUGUGGGAAGGCCCAGACAGCCAGGAUGUUGGCUUAGAAGCAGCCAUCAUUUAAAGAAAGCGUAAUAGCUCACUGGUCGAGUCGGCCUGCGCGGAAGAUGUAACGGGGCUAAACCAUGCACCGAAGCUGCGGCAGCGACACUAAGUGUUGUUGGGUAGGGGAGCGUUCUGUAAGCCUGUGAAGGUGUACUGUGAGGUAUGCUGGAGGUAUCAGAAGUGCGAAUGCUGACAUAAGUAACGAUAAAGCGGGUGAAAAGCCCGCUCGCCGGAAGACCAAGGGUUCCUGUCCAACGUUAAUCGGGGCAGGGUGAGUCGACCCCUAAGGCGAGGCCGAAAGGCGUAGUCGAUGGGAAACAGGUUAAUAUUCCUGUACUUGGUGUUACUGCGAAGGGGGGACGGAGAAGGCUAUGUUGGCCGGGCGACGGUUGUCCCGGUUUAAGCGUGUAGGCUGGUUUUCCAGGCAAAUCCGGAAAAUCAAGGCUGAGGCGUGAUGACGAGGCACUACGGUGCUGAAGCAACAAAUGCCCUGCUUCCAGGAAAAGCCUCUAAGCAUCAGGUAACAUCAAAUCGUACCCCAAACCGACACAGGUGGUCAGGUAGAGAAUACCAAGGCGCUUGAGAGAACUCGGGUGAAGGAACUAGGCAAAAUGGUGCCGUAACUUCGGGAGAAGGCACGCUGAUAUGUAGGUGAAGUCCCUCGCGGAUGGAGCUGAAAUCAGUCGAAGAUACCAGCUGGCUGCAACUGUUUAUUAAAAACACAGCACUGUGCAAACACGAAAGUGGACGUAUACGGUGUGACGCCUGCCCGGUGCCGGAAGGUUAAUUGAUGGGGUUAGCGGUAACGCGAAGCUCUUGAUCGAAGCCCCGGUAAACGGCGGCCGUAACUAUAACGGUCCUAAGGUAGCGAAAUUCCUUGUCGGGUAAGUUCCGACCUGCACGAAUGGCGUAAUGAUGGCCAGGCUGUCUCCACCCGAGACUCAGUGAAAUUGAACUCGCUGUGAAGAUGCAGUGUACCCGCGGCAAGACGGAAAGACCCCGUGAACCUUUACUAUAGCUUGACACUGAACAUUGAGCCUUGAUGUGUAGGAUAGGUGGGAGGCUUUGAAGUGUGGACGCCAGUCUGCAUGGAGCCGGCCUUGAAAUACCACCCUUUAAUGUUUGAUGUUCUAACGUUGGCCCCUGACCGGGGUUGCGGACAGUGUCUGGUGGGUAGUUUGACUGGGGCGGUCUCCUCCUAAAGAGUAACGGAGGAGCACGAAGGUUGGCUAAUCCUGGUCGGACAUCAGGAGGUUAGUGCAAUGGCAUAAGCCAGCUUGACUGCGAGCGUGACGGCGCGAGCAGGUGCGAAAGCAGGUCAUAGUGAUCCGGUGGUUCUGAAUGGAAGGGCCAUCGCUCAACGGAUAAAAGGUACUCCGGGGAUAACAGGCUGAUACCGCCCAAGAGUUCAUAUCGACGGCGGUGUUUGGCACCUCGAUGUCGGCUCAUCACAUCCUGGGGCUGAAGUAGGUCCCAAGGGUAUGGCUGUUCGCCAUUUAAAGUGGUACGCGAGCUGGGUUUAGAACGUCGUGAGACAGUUCGGUCCCUAUCUGCCGUGGGCGCUGGAGAACUGAGGGGGGCUGCUCCUAGUACGAGAGGACCGGAGUGGACGCAUCACUGGUGUUCGGGUUGUCAUGCCAAUGGCACUGCCCGGUAGCUAAAUGCGGAAGAGAUAAGUGCUGAAAGCAUCUAAGCACGAAACUUGCCCCGAGAUGAGUUCUCCCUGACUCCUUGAGAGUCCUGAAGGAACGUUGAAGACGACGACGUUGAUAGGCCGGGUGUGUAAGCGCAGCGAUGCGUUGAGCUAACCGGUACUAAUGAACCGUGAGGCUUAACCUU
Molecule: ribosomal RNA, 2905 nt
Filed under: Escherichia coli
Lineage: Bacteria; Pseudomonadati; Pseudomonadota; Gammaproteobacteria; Enterobacterales; Enterobacteriaceae
Description: 23S ribosomal RNA
Rfam family: Bacterial large subunit ribosomal RNA
Source: RNAcentral